CUCAGAUGUAAACAAACCCAAAGGGAGGGACGUUUGAGGGUGAGAAAGGGGGAUAACAUCUGCCGACACCUGUUCAUCCGUUGGGAAUAUUGCCAAAAGAAUCUCCUGUUAGAAAGCCAUCAAGAAUCCAUCACAGAAAAGAAGACAGAUGAAAAAUGAAUGGCCAAGCCUCUAAACUGCUGAUAGGAAAUCUAAUCAUGGUAGAAGUGGAAGACGUUCUCCUCAAAUCGGAAGAUUCCAACUGGUGCAAACAUGGAAAUGGUCAAACAGCUUAGGAAGAAAUUAUCAGAGGCAAGCUUCAGCUCC
Non-coding RNA from Penaeus vannamei (Pacific white shrimp), 306 nucleotides. Lineage: Eukaryota; Metazoa; Arthropoda; Malacostraca; Decapoda; Penaeidae. The record is from RefSeq and is a predicted model, not a curated record.